UCUACGGCUACUUCUUCGUCGUGAUGCUCAAUUACUUCAUCGAGCAGAGCAUGUCGAUGGGCGGCGGCGGGUCGCAGAACGUCAACGAGAUGAUGAUUCGGCCGCUGAUGCAGAACGUGACGGUGCUCCUGCUCUUCGUCAUGCCCGCCAUCACAAUGCGAACCUACUCGGAGGAAAAGCGCUCGGGCACGAUCGAACUGCUUCUCACGUCUCCGCUGACAGACCUUCAGAUCAUCCUCGGCAAAUUCUUUGGCGCGCUCGCGCUGUAUGCCGUGAUGCUGGCCAUCACGCUCGUUCAUCUCGCCGUGCUCUUCUUAUACGGAAACCCCGAACUGCUUCCCAUCGCGA
This 348-nucleotide unclassified non-coding RNA is filed under the name uncultured bacterium. Its description in RNAcentral is "contains 16S-23S intergenic spacer region". The record is from RNAcentral.